RNAcentral lists this ribosomal RNA (495 nucleotides) under uncultured bacterium. RNAcentral describes it as "partial 16S ribosomal RNA". It matches the Rfam family "Bacterial small subunit ribosomal RNA", at positions 28 to 507 of the family's 1533-position model. The record is from RNAcentral.
GACGAACGCUGGCGGCGUGCCUAAUACAUGCAAGUAGAACGCUUAAGGAGGAGCUUGCUUCUCUGGAUGAGUUGCGAACGGGUGAGUAACGCGUAGGUAACCUGCCUGGUAGCGGGGGAUAACUAUUGGAAACGAUAGCUAAUACCGCAUAACAGUAGAUAUCGCAUGAUAUCUACUUGAAAGGUGCAAUUGCAUCACUACCAGAUGGACCUGCGUUGUAUUAGCUAGUUGGUGAGGUAACGGCUCACCAAGGCGACGAUACAUAGCCGACCUGAGAGGGUGAUCGGCCAAACGGGGACUGAGACACGGCCCAGACUCCUACGGGAGGCAGCAGUAGGGAAUCUUCGGCAAUGGACGGAAGUCUGACCGAGCAACGCCGCGUGAGUGAAGAAGGUUUUCGGAUCGUAAAGCUCUGUUGUAAGAGAAGAACGAGUGUGAGAGUGGAAAGUUCACACUGUGACGGUAUCUUACCAGAAAGGGACGGCUAACUACGUG